CGUUUUAAUCGAUGGGGGGACGCAGUAGGAUAGGCGAAGCGUGCGAUUGGAUUGCACGUCUAAGCAGUAAGGCUGAGUAUUAGGCAAAUCCGGUACUCGUUAAGGCUGAGCUGUGAUGGGGAGAAGACAUUGUGUCUUCGAGUCGUUGAUUUCACACUGCCGAGAAAAGCCUCUAGAUAGAAAAUAGGUGCCCGUACCGCAAACCGACACAGGUAGUCAAGAUGAGAAUUCUAAGGUGAGCGAGCGAACUCUCGUUAAGGAACUCGGCAAAAUGACCCCGUAACUUCGGGAGAAGGGGUGCUCUUUAGGGUUAACGCCCAGAAGAGCCGCAGUGAAUAGGCCCAAGCGACUGUUUAUCAAAAACACAGGUCUCUGCUAAACCGUAAGGUGAUGUAUAGGGGCUGACGCCUGCCCGGUGCUGGAAGGUUAAGAGGAGUGGUUAGCUUCUGCGAAGCUACGAAUCGAAGCCCCAGUAAACGGCGGCCGUAACUAUAACGGUCCUAAGGUAGCGAAAUUCCUUGUCGGGUAAGUUCCGACCCGCACGAAAGGCGUAACGAUUUGGGCACUGUCUCAACGAGAGACUCGGUGAAAUCAUAGUACCUGUGAAGAUGCAGGUUACCCGCGACAGGACGGAAAGACCCCGUGGAGCUUUACUGUAGCCUGAUAUUGAAAUUCGGCACAGCUUGUACAGGAUAGGUAGGAGCCUUUGAAACGUGAGCGCUAGCUUACGUGGAGGCGCUGGUGGGAUACUACCCUAGCUGUGUUGGCUUUCUAACCCGCACUACUUAUCGUGGUGGGAGACAGUGUCAGGCGGGCAGUUUGACUGGGGCGGUCGCCUCCUAAAAGGUAACGGAGGCGCUCAAAGGUUCCCUCAGAAUGGUUGGAAAUCAUUCAUAGAGUGUAAAGGCAU
This 910-nucleotide ribosomal RNA is filed under the name Staphylococcus aureus. RNAcentral describes it as "partial 23S ribosomal RNA". It matches the Rfam family "Bacterial large subunit ribosomal RNA", at positions 1449 to 2360 of the family's 2925-position model. The record is from RNAcentral. Lineage: Bacteria; Bacillati; Bacillota; Bacilli; Caryophanales; Staphylococcaceae.